AGCAACGCCGCGUGAGCGAUGAAGGCCUUCGGGUCGUAAAGCUCUGUUGUUAGAGAAGAACAAGUACGAGAGUAACUGCUCGUACCUUGACGGUACCUAACCAGAAAGCCACGGCUAACUACGUGCCAGCAGCCGCGGUAAUACGUAGGUGGCAAGCGUUAUCCGGAAUUAUUGGGCGUAAAGCGCGCGCAGGCGGUCUCUUAAGUCUGAUGUGAAAGCCCACGGCUCAACCGUGGAGGGUCAUUGGAAACUGGGAGACUUGAGUGCAGGAGAGAAAAGUGGAAUUCCACGUGUAGCGGUGAAAUGCGUAGAGAUGUGGAGGAACACCAGUGGCGAAGGCGGCUUUUUGGCCUGUAACUGACGCUGAGGCGCGAAAGCGUGGGGAGCAAACAGGAUUAGAUACCCUGGUAGUCCACGCCGUAAACGAUGAGUGCUAGGUGUUGGGGGGUUCCACCCUCAGUGCUGAAGUUAACACAUUAAGCACUCCGCCUGGGGAGUACGACCGCAAGGUUGAAACUCAAAGGAAUUGACGGGGGCCCGCACAAGCAGUGGAGCAUGUGGUUUAAUUCGAAGCAACGCGAAGAACCUUACCAGGUCUUGACAUCCUCUGACCACUCUAGAGAUAGAGCUUUCCCCUUCGGGGGACAGAGUGACAGGUGGUGCAUGGUUGUCGUCAGCUCGUGUCGUGAGAUGUUGGGUUAAGUCCCGCAACGAGCGCAACCCUUGACCUUAGUUGCCAGCAUUCAGUUGGGCACUCUAAGGUGACUGCCGGUGACAAACCGGAGGAAGGUGGGG
This 795-nucleotide ribosomal RNA is filed under the name Fictibacillus barbaricus. RNAcentral describes it as "bacterial SSU rRNA". It matches the Rfam family "Bacterial small subunit ribosomal RNA", at positions 390 to 1178 of the family's 1533-position model. The record is from RNAcentral. Lineage: Bacteria; Bacillati; Bacillota; Bacilli; Caryophanales; Fictibacillaceae.